RNAcentral lists this ribosomal RNA (777 nucleotides) under uncultured Neocallimastigales. RNAcentral's name for it is "partial large subunit ribosomal RNA". It matches the Rfam family "Eukaryotic large subunit ribosomal RNA", at positions 24 to 640 of the family's 3401-position model. Lineage: Eukaryota; Fungi; Neocallimastigomycota; Neocallimastigomycetes; Neocallimastigales. The record is from RNAcentral.
UAUCUCUGUAGAGUCUGCAUAUCAAUAAGCGGAGGAAAAGAAACUAACUAGGAUUCCCUUAGUAACGGCGAGUGAAGCGGGAAGAGCUCAAAUUUGAAAUCUUCAAGGUUUUACCUUGACGAAUUGUAGUUUAAAGAAGUGUUUUCUGUUAGAGUGAUUAGGUAAAAGUUCUUUGGAAUAGGACAUCAUAGAGGGUGAGAAUCCCGUAUUUGACCUAUUACUUCUAGCGUUGUGAUACACUUUCAAAGAGUCGGAUUGUUUGGGAAUGCAGUCCAAAAUGGGUGGUAAAUUUCAUCUAAAGCUAAAUAUUGGCGAGAGACCGAUAGCGAACAAGUACCGUGAGGGAAAGAUGAAAAGAACUUUGAAAAGAGAGUUAAACAGUACGUGAAAUUGUCAAAAGGGAAGCGUUUGACACCAGCGUUGUUUUUCUCGAAAAUCAAUUAAAAAUGGAUUCAUGCUAAGUUGUAUUGACCUUAUCAGCUUGCAAUUUAGUUUUGGGUUUCUUUUUGAUGCACUUUUCGGUUAACAAGUCAACAUCAAUUUCCUUUGCUGUAAAAAGGCAGGAGGAAGGUGGCUUCAAUUUCGGUUGAAGUGUUUAUAGCCUUCUGUCUCUGCAGUCGGGGAGAUUGAGGCCUGCAGCGUAGAUCCUUCGGGGCUAGAUACAUUCGUGCUAAGUUAUAGCCUUUUAUAGAAACCUGUUGACUAUGAUUGGUCUUGUAAUUUACUCGCGAGUGCUAUUUUACCUACGCUUAGGAUGUUGAUCUACAGAGCGAGAGU